UACGUAGGGGGCAAGCGUUGUCCGGAAUCAUUGGGCGUAAAGAGCGUGUAGGCGGUUCGGUAAGUCUGCUGUGAAAGUCCAGGGCUCAACCCUGGGAUGCCGGUGGAUACUGUCGGACUAGAGUACGGAAGAGGCGAGUGGAAUUCCUGGUGUAGCGGUGAAAUGCGCAGAUAUCAGGAGGAACACCAAUGGCGAAGGCAGCUCGCUGGGACGUGACUGACGCUGAGACGCGAAAGCGUGGGGAGCAAACAGG
RNAcentral lists this ribosomal RNA (253 nucleotides) under uncultured bacterium. RNAcentral describes it as "partial 16S ribosomal RNA". It matches the Rfam family "Bacterial small subunit ribosomal RNA", at positions 524 to 776 of the family's 1533-position model. The record is from RNAcentral.